Long non-coding RNA from Spinacia oleracea (spinach), 1599 nucleotides. RefSeq lists it as uncharacterized. The record is from RefSeq and is a predicted model, not a curated record. The transcript has 3 exons. Lineage: Eukaryota; Viridiplantae; Streptophyta; Magnoliopsida; Caryophyllales; Amaranthaceae.
UAUUCUCAUUCAAAAAAAUUAAAAAAACUAAUGCAGCAGCAGACUAAAUUAAUCAAGCCGUAAAAUCAAAAACCUCCCGCAAACCAAAACCUCCAGUAAAACCUAAACCUAAACAUUCUACUCUAUCUUCUGCAAAUACUUAACCAUAAUCGUGCAAAACCUAAACCUUUCUAACAAAACCCCCGAAUCCAAUCUCCCGGAAAACUUAGACCAUAAUCACGCACCACCACCAGAUCACCGCUGCACCACCAGAUCACCGCCGCUGUACCGCACUACUGUUCGUUGGAUCCCCUCUCCUUCUACCUCUCCCUCUCCCUCUCUCUCUAAUCAAAAUCCCCAAUUCAUCUAGCGCUUUCGGGCGAUUGUUCGUUGACUUUGUACACCAGCGUCGAGGGAGAUGGUGUUGAGUUUUGGCCUUAUGGUCAGACUUACUUCAAUAAGCCUUCUGGCAGGUAUUGUGAUGGUCUUGUCAUCCCGGAUUUCUUAGCUCAAUUUGCAGGUUGGCCACAUUUGCGGACGUAUAUGCAACCAGGCCCUAAGAAUUAUUCCCAAGGAAUGAAUUUUGCUGCUGCGAGUGCUUGUGUGCUCGUUGAAACUCGUCCUGGCAAGGGUUGUUUUAUAUAUCAAGAAAGAAUUCAACUUGCAGAGUGCACCAACUUUGGAAGGCUUAAUUGUGACUAUGGCACUAGUUGGAGCAACUCUAAUCACAACAUGUUGCGGACCGAUUUCAGAUCGUGUUGGUCGUCGCCCGAAUUUGAUAACCGUUUUAUAUUCCUUCCUCAUUUUCUGAUUUUAGGAAGGGAAUAAAUGACGCUUAUCUCUUAUCAAUGUACUUUAUUACUAGGUAUAUAAAACGCUUCUUUUACCCGUUUUAUAAACUUUAUAGCGCGCUGAGUUGAAGAACGCCUCUGAAGCGUCCUAUAAAGUGUAUUUCGACAGUACUCUAUGCCCUUUUUUGUAGUAGUGGCGGGCACAAGCAUAUGUUCUCCUCCAACACUGUUUGGCUGGUUUCCAAAUGUGAACUUCCCUUACACCUUACCUUCAACAAGAAACAAACCUGCAUUAACAACGAAAUUAAAUUUAGAAAACAAGUAAUAUCAGUUGGAUGUCUCGAAGCAGAAUUACACAUUAUUAGUUAAAAGAAAGUAAGAAACCAUCAAAGCAGUUUUCUGGCAAGUUAGUGCAAUACACUCAAAGCAUACAUCUAUUCACAAUAUAUGUCUACCUUUCUAGAAGGUGCAGCAAACUAAAGGUGUUACCAUCAGGAACUUUGACGGAGAAAAUCUGAGCUUAUACGGAAAAAAUGUUGUAGUUAAUCUAUGACACGUUUAAACAUGCCUUCUGAUAAAAGAACACAAAAAAAAAAGGAAGUUUGAUAGAGAGCUCAUGUUGCCACCAAUACACAUUUCAAAAGCUUCGGCUCCUUUGCUCAACCUAUUGGCAACAAAGUCCAUCCAAUCCCCUCUAUCACAAAAGCCCCGUUAUUCCUUCUGUACAAGUAAAUAUAAUAAAUUAAUAAUGUUAAUAACUGUUCUAUAAUUAAUGUACUGAGGUCAUGCCAGUUGCAAGUAAUGAUUUUAUGUAGCAGUUAACUGCUAU